AAGAUAUUAGUAAAAUAAUUACAUAACUUUGUCAAAGUUAAAUUAUAGAUUAAACCCCUAUAUAUCUUA
Molecule: transfer RNA, 69 nt
Filed under: Lagothrix lagotricha (brown woolly monkey)
Lineage: Eukaryota; Metazoa; Chordata; Mammalia; Primates; Atelidae
Also listed under: 1 other name
Description: tRNA-Asp
Source: RNAcentral